Molecule: ribosomal RNA, 977 nt
Filed under: Paenarthrobacter nitroguajacolicus
Lineage: Bacteria; Bacillati; Actinomycetota; Actinomycetes; Micrococcales; Micrococcaceae
Description: bacterial SSU rRNA
Rfam family: Bacterial small subunit ribosomal RNA
Source: RNAcentral
GAUGAACGCUGGCGGCGUGCUUAACACAUGCAAGUCGAACGAUGAUCCCAGCUUGCUGGGGGAUUAGUGGCGAACGGGUGAGUAACACGUGAGUAACCUGCCCUUGACUCUGGGAUAAGCCUGGGAAACUGGGUCUAAUACCGGAUACGACCAUCUGGCGCAUGUCAUGGUGGUGGAAAGCUUUUGUGGUUUUGGAUGGACUCGCGGCCUAUCAGCUUGUUGGUGGGGUAAUGGCCUACCAAGGCGACGACGGGUAGCCGGCCUGAGAGGGUGACCGGCCACACUGGGACUGAGACACGGCCCAGACUCCUACGGGAGGCAGCAGUGGGGAAUAUUGCACAAUGGGCGCAAGCCUGAUGCAGCGACGCCGCGUGAGGGAUGACGGCCUUCGGGUUGUAAACCUCUUUCAGUAGGGAAGAAGCGAAAGUGACGGUACCUGCAGAAGAAGCGCCGGCUAACUACGUGCCAGCAGCCGCGGUAAUACGUAGGGCGCAAGCGUUAUCCGGAAUUAUUGGGCGUAAAGAGCUCGUAGGCGGUUUGUCGCGUCUGCUGUGAAAGACCGGGGCUCAACUCCGGUUCUGCAGUGGGUACGGGCAGACUAGAGUGCAGUAGGGGAGACUGGAAUUCCUGGUGUAGCGGUGAAAUGCGCAGAUAUCAGGAGGAACACCGAUGGCGAAGGCAGGUCUCUGGGCUGUAACUGACGCUGAGGAGCGAAAGCAUGGGGAGCGAACAGGAUUAGAUACCCUGGUAGUCCAUGCCGUAAACGUUGGGCACUAGGUGUGGGGGACAUUCCACGUUUUCCGCGCCGUAGCUAACGCAUUAAGUGCCCCGCCUGGGGAGUACGGCCGCAAGGCUAAAACUCAAAGGAAUUGACGGGGGCCCGCACAAGCGGCGGAGCAUGCGGAUUAAUUCGAUGCAACGCGAAGAACCUUACCAAGGCUUGACAUGAACCGGAAAGACCUGGAAACAGGUGCCCC